GUGCUCACUGUGGCAGCACAUAUACGAAAAUUGGAACGCUACAGAGAUUAGCGUGGCCCCUGCACAAGGAUGACAUGCAAAUGCAUGAAGUGAACUUUUUUUUU
Molecule: small nuclear RNA, 104 nt
Filed under: Aotus nancymaae (Ma's night monkey)
Lineage: Eukaryota; Metazoa; Chordata; Mammalia; Primates; Aotidae
Source: RNAcentral